CCCGCCGAUGAAUCAGCGGGCUAUUCUCAUUCGUCCCUACGGGACU
Molecule: small RNA, 46 nt
Organism: Caldithrix abyssi DSM 13497
Lineage: Bacteria; Pseudomonadati; Calditrichota; Calditrichia; Calditrichales; Calditrichaceae
Rfam family: Acido-Lenti-1 RNA
Source: Rfam